AAGAAGACAUUUUUGUGUUUUAAGUAUUCGACACUUUGGAAGCUAAAAUUUGGUAUGUGUUUUGCUUGGCUUUUGAUAAUUUUUAUGUUUUUGUGAUCGUUGCUUAGUAUAUUGCCUAGCCCAUGUAUUAAUUGUUGGAGUUGAUUAUGAAUUUGAGAAUUUCCAUGGUUGAUAAUGUGAUAAAUUUGUUGUUUGAUGAUGAAAAAUAAAUCUUGGUUGAUAGAUUAUUAUGUUUAAUUAAGUGGUUUUUAGUAAAAAUGUGUAUUAAGGAUUAAAUUGUGAAUUUUGUAAAUUGAUGGGUCAAAAUGUGAAAUAAAUGAUUAAAAUUUUAUUGCUAGAGACCUAAGGU
This 349-nucleotide long non-coding RNA is filed under the name Gossypium barbadense (sea-island cotton). RNAcentral's name for it is "long non-coding RNA (GBAR_LNC013339)". Lineage: Eukaryota; Viridiplantae; Streptophyta; Magnoliopsida; Malvales; Malvaceae. The record is from RNAcentral.